RNAcentral lists this ribosomal RNA (496 nucleotides) under uncultured bacterium. RNAcentral's name for it is "partial 16S ribosomal RNA". It matches the Rfam family "Bacterial small subunit ribosomal RNA", at positions 28 to 506 of the family's 1533-position model. The record is from RNAcentral.
GAUGAACGCUGGCGGCGUGCCUAAUACAUGCAAGUCGAGCGAACGGACGAGAAGCUUGCUUCUCUGAUGUUAGCGGCGGACGGGUGAGUAACACGUGGAUAACCUACCUAUAAGACUGGGAUAACUUCGGGAAGCCGGAGCUAAUACCGGAUAAUAUUUUGAACCGCAUGGUUCAAAAGUGAAAGACGGUCUUGCUGUCACUUAUAGAUGGAUCCGCGCUGCAUUAGCUAGUUGGUAAGGUAACGGCUUACCAAGGCAACGAUGCAUAGCCGACCUGAGAGGGUGAUCGGCCACACUGGAACUGAGACACGGUCCAGACUCCUACGGGAGGCAGCAGUAGGGAAUCUUCCGCAAUGGGCGAAACCCUGACGGAGCAACGCCGCGUGAGUGAUGAAGGUCUUCGGAUCGUAAAACUCUGUUAUUAGGGAAGAACAUAUGUGUAAGUAACUGUGCACAUCUUGACGGUACCUAAUCAGAAAGCCACGGCUAACUACGU